Molecule: ribosomal RNA, 234 nt
Filed under: uncultured bacterium
Lineage: Bacteria
Description: partial 16S ribosomal RNA
Rfam family: Bacterial small subunit ribosomal RNA
Source: RNAcentral
GAUCAUGGCUCAGGAUGGACGCUGGCGGCGUGCCUAACACAUGCAAGUCGAACGGGGCAAAUGAGAUGAAGUUUUCGGAUGGAUUCUUAUUUACCGAGUGGCGAACGGGUGAGUAACGCGUAAUCAACCUGCCCUUCAGAGGGGGACAACAGUUGGAAACGACUGCUAAUACCGCAUACGAUUCAAUCUCGGCAUCGAGACUGGAUGAAAGGUGGCCUCUAUUUAUAAGCUAUC